This 452-nucleotide ribosomal RNA is filed under the name uncultured bacterium. Its description in RNAcentral is "bacterial SSU rRNA". It matches the Rfam family "Bacterial small subunit ribosomal RNA", at positions 340 to 786 of the family's 1533-position model. The record is from RNAcentral.
UACGGAAGGCAGCAGGGGGGAAUAUUGCACAAUGGGCGCAAGCCUGAUGCAGCCAUGCCGCGUGUAUGAAGAAGGCCUUCGGGUUGUAAAGUACUUUCAGUCGUGAGGAAGGUGUUAAGGUUAAUAACCUUAGCAAUUGACGUUAGCGACAGAAGAAGCACCGGCUAACUCCGUGCCAGCAGCCGCGGUAAUACGGAGGGUGCGAGCGUUAAUCGGAAUUACUGGGCGUAAAGGGCACGCAGGCGGUUAAUUAAGUUGGAUGUGAAAUCCCCGGGCUUAACCUGGGAAUGGCAUUCAAGACUGGUUAGCUAGAGUCUUGUAGAGGGGGUAGAAUUCCAUGUGUAGCGGUGAAAUGCGUAGAGAUGUGGAGGAAUCCGGUGGCGAAGGCGGCCCCUGGACAAAGACUGACGCUCAUGUGCGAAAGCGUGGGGAGCAAACAGGGAUUAGAUACC